Molecule: ribosomal RNA, 329 nt
Filed under: uncultured eukaryote
Lineage: Eukaryota
Description: partial 18S ribosomal RNA
Rfam family: Eukaryotic small subunit ribosomal RNA
Source: RNAcentral
CCCUUAGAUGUUCUGGGCCGCACGCGCGCUACAAUGAUGAAUUCAACGAGUUUAUAACCUUGGUUGAAAAGCCUGGGUAAUCUUUUGAACUUUCGUCGUGGUGGGGCUAGACCCUUGCAAUUAUUGGUCUCCAACGAGGAAUUCCUAGUAAACGCAAGUCAUCAGCUUGCAUUGAUUACGUCCCUGCCCUUUGUACACACCGCCCGUCGCACCUACCGAUUGAAUGGUCCGGUGAAAUCUUCGGAUUGAGACUUUGAUUUCUUCACGGAAAACGCUGUUUUAAAAAGUUGAUUAAACCUUACCAUUUAGAGGAAGGUGAAGUCGUAACA